AUUUAAAUAAUAUAAUAAGUAUAUUUGAUUUCCAAUCAAAAAGUCUAUAGAAUAGUUUAAAUA
Molecule: transfer RNA, 63 nt
Filed under: Augomonoctenus smithi
Lineage: Eukaryota; Metazoa; Arthropoda; Insecta; Hymenoptera; Diprionidae
Description: tRNA-Gly
Source: RNAcentral